This 819-nucleotide ribosomal RNA is filed under the name Ceriporia viridans. RNAcentral's name for it is "partial 28S ribosomal RNA". It matches the Rfam family "Eukaryotic large subunit ribosomal RNA", at positions 94 to 919 of the family's 3401-position model. Lineage: Eukaryota; Fungi; Basidiomycota; Agaricomycetes; Polyporales; Irpicaceae. The record is from RNAcentral.
UGAAGCGGGAAAAGCUCAAAUUUAAAAUCUGGCAGUCUUUGGCUGUCCGAAUUGUAUUCUAGAGAAGUGUUUUCUGUGCUGGACCGUGUACAAGUCUCUUGGAACAGAGCGUCAUAGAGGGUGAGAAUCCCGUCUUUGACACGGACUACCAGUGCUUUGUGAUGCGCUCUCAAAGAGUCGAGUUGUUUGGGAAUGCAGCUCAAAAUGGGUGGUAAAUUCCAUCUAAAGCUAAAUAUUGGCGAGAGACCGAUAGCGAACAAGUACCGUGAGGGAAAGAUGAAAAGCACUUUGGAAAGAGAGUUAAACAGUACGUGAAAUUGCUGAAAGGGAAACGCUUGAAGUCAGUCGCGUUGGUCAGAACUCAGCCUUGCUUUUGCUUGGUGUACUUUCUGGCUGACGGGCCAGCAUCAGUUUUGAUUGUGGGAAAAAGGUCAGAGAAAUGUGGCACCUUCGGGUGUGUUAUAGUCUUUGAUUGUAUACCAUGGUUGGGACUGAGGAUCUCAGCACGCGCAAGCUGUGCUAAGGAUGCUGGCGUAAUGGCUUUAAACGACCCGUCUUGAAACACGGACCAAGGAGUCUAACAUGCCUGCGAGUGUUUGGGUGGAAAACCUGAGCGCGUAAUGAAAGUGAAAGUUGGGAUCUCUGUCGUGGAGAGCACCGACGCCCGGACCAGACCUUCUGUGACGGAUCUGCGGUAGAGCAUGUAUGUUGGGACCCGAAAGAUGGUGAACUAUGCCUGAAUAGGGUGAAGCCAGAGGAAACUCUGGUGGAAGCUCGUAGCGAUUCUGACGUGCAAAUCGAUCGUCAAAUUUGGGUAUA